ACCUCUGGCUUCCCUGUCUCCCCUUUCGUAUAUCAUAUCCUCGAAAACGCACAACUUUGAAAAAUGCCAAAAAUAUCUCACAUUGUGCCCGGGCAAUUGACCCAUGCAAUUUUAGGUAUAGACUUCAGCAACACCGGUUAAUCCAAGUGGCAGAGGAGGCGGGGAAUGUCGAUGGGCUUCCCAGGGUAUUUGGGCGUUAUGACCCCGGCAGCCGGGCAUCAAGCUCCUAGUCAUCGGGACAGGUGAAAAAUUAUAUGCCAGCAGUGGGGCAUAGCACAAAUCGCUGACGUCCUGCAUGGAUUUCCGAUACACCGACACUUACCGUCUAUGUGUGCGCUUCAAUUUCAAAAGAUAACAAUUUUAAUUACAACGUUUUGCGAAAUAUUGGCAACCGCAGCAGUCUGGGCACUCAGGCAACCAGCCGCCUCGUGGAAUGGAAUCCCACCGUAAAAUACACGACACUGUACAUAUAGAAUGGGUCCAGUCUGGUGGUGGCUCAAAUGCGAGGGGAGAAGAGUACCUGUGGUAUUAUUAAGGAGACUACGUGUAUACAUACAUAUGAUUCUUUAUGAAAUAUGUGAUGGAAAUUCUUCCGAGCCUUCGAGGCCUUAAUAAAUUUGUAAAGUGAAUACUU
Molecule: non-coding RNA, 634 nt
Organism: Drosophila melanogaster (fruit fly)
Lineage: Eukaryota; Metazoa; Arthropoda; Insecta; Diptera; Drosophilidae
Source: Ensembl